This 568-nucleotide ribosomal RNA is filed under the name uncultured Acidimicrobiaceae bacterium. Its description in RNAcentral is "bacterial SSU rRNA". It matches the Rfam family "Bacterial small subunit ribosomal RNA", at positions 9 to 585 of the family's 1533-position model. Lineage: Bacteria; Bacillati; Actinomycetota; Acidimicrobiia; Acidimicrobiales; Acidimicrobiaceae. The record is from RNAcentral.
GAGUUUGAUCAUGGUUCAGGACGAACGCUGGCGGCGUGCUUAAUACAUGCAAGUCGAACGAGGUCCAUCCGGUGGCAACACUGGUGAAGACCUAGUGGCGAACGGGUGAGUAGCACGUGAGCAACCUGCCCCGAAGACUGGGAUAACACCGGGAAACCGGUGCUAAUACCGGAUAUCCCCACUGGACCGCAUGGUCCGAUGAGGAAAAGGGUUUCUGCUUCGGGAGGGGCUCGCGGCCUAUCAGCUUGAUGGUGAGGUAACGGCUCACCAUGGCGACGGCGGGUAGCUGGUCUGAGAGGACGAUCAGCCACACUGGGACUGAGACACGGCCCAGACUCCUACGGGAGGCAGCAGUAGGGAAUCUUGCGCAAUGGGCGAAAGCCUGACGCAGCAACGCCGCGUGAGGGACGAAGGCUUUCUGAGUUGUAAACCUCUUUCAGCAGGGACGAUAGUGACGGUACCUGCGGAAGAAGCACCGGCCAACUACGUGCCAGCAGCCGCGGUGAUACGUAGGGUGCGAGCGUUGUCCGGAUUUAUUGGGCGUAAAGAGCUCGUAGGCGGUUCGAUA